AUCAUUAAUAAUAAGCGGUAGAAGAAGCAUGCUUUUAUUUAUGAAAAUCUUGAUUGCUUUCUCUUGGUAAUGGUAGGAAGAAUGCAAAACACGUAGUGAGUUCAGUUGUGACACAAGCACCAAACUUUGAUGGGUAUCAGUGGAGAAAGUACGGGUAGAAGUGGAUCUCCAAAGCAAAGCAUUCUAGGCUGCAAUUGAGUACAUUCAUUCUUUAUCAAGGGCACAGCCUGCUCGUUCUCUCAAUGGUGCUGGCCUUUGUCCUGCUAGUAGAUCACUUAGCACCCAGGCCACCACUACGUCAAGCACACCACAGUUGAAAGCACACCCCAUGUCAAGCAGCCAGGCCGCCACUAUGUUAAGCAAAACAGAAGACGGGAAGAACUGAUGUAGCCAUGUUCAUGCUUCCACUGUUGAAAUGCAUAUUCAGCAUAGCUUACUCAGUUCCUAUCUGUUGUUUCAACGUUGAUUUAAAAGAAGAGCUGGUAGUUGUGAGCUAUCUGUAAAUGAUCUAGUUGUGAAUGAUAUUAUAAUUGUGAUGCUUUUAUGAAUAUAUAAUUGUGGUGCUUUUGU
Molecule: long non-coding RNA, 570 nt
Organism: Zea mays
Lineage: Eukaryota; Viridiplantae; Streptophyta; Magnoliopsida; Poales; Poaceae
Exons: 2
Source: RefSeq, a predicted model, not a curated record